GGCGAGUGUUGGGGAAGCGGAGUACGAGAGUGAUCCGGAGGAAGCAAAGUUGUCCUUGAAGAUGAGGAGAAGAGAAGCGAGUGAUGAUGAGGAGGAAGAAAGGGAAGUGGAGAAGAGAGAGAAGUCUGUUCGGAUGAUUGAAUCUGAUGGUGAAUCGGAAGGACAGGGGGCUGCUGCUGAUUAUGAUGAAGAGGAGGAAGAAGAGG
This 206-nucleotide unclassified non-coding RNA is filed under the name Hevea brasiliensis (rubber tree). Lineage: Eukaryota; Viridiplantae; Streptophyta; Magnoliopsida; Malpighiales; Euphorbiaceae. The record is from RNAcentral.